This 254-nucleotide ribosomal RNA is filed under the name uncultured bacterium. RNAcentral describes it as "partial 16S ribosomal RNA". It matches the Rfam family "Bacterial small subunit ribosomal RNA", at positions 526 to 779 of the family's 1533-position model. The record is from RNAcentral.
CGUAGGUGGCAAGCGUUGUCCGGAAUUAUUGGGCGUAAAGCGCGCGCAGGCGGUUUCUUAAGUCUGAUGUGAAAGCCCACGGCUCAACCGUGGAGGGUCAUUGGAAACUGGGGAACUUGAGUGCAGAAGAGGAGAGUGGAAUUCCACGUGUAGCGGUGAAAUGCGUAGAGAUGUGGAGGAACACCAGUGGCGAAGGCGACUCUCUGGGUCUGUAACUGACGCUGAGGCGCGAAAGCGUGGGAGCGAACAGGAUU